This 165-nucleotide ribosomal RNA is filed under the name uncultured bacterium. Its description in RNAcentral is "partial 16S ribosomal RNA". It matches the Rfam family "Bacterial small subunit ribosomal RNA", at positions 338 to 495 of the family's 1533-position model. The record is from RNAcentral.
CCUACGGGAGGCAGCAGUGGGGAAUUUUGGACAAUGGGGGCAACCCUGAUCCAGCCAUGCCGCGUGAUUGAAGAAGGUCUUCGGGUUGUAAAGCUCUUUCGGCCGGGAAGAAAUCGCAUCAAUUAAUACCUGGUGUGGAUGACGGUACCGGAAUAAUAAGCACCG